RNAcentral lists this ribosomal RNA (253 nucleotides) under uncultured bacterium. RNAcentral's name for it is "partial 16S ribosomal RNA". It matches the Rfam family "Bacterial small subunit ribosomal RNA", at positions 524 to 776 of the family's 1533-position model. The record is from RNAcentral.
GACGGAGGGUGCAAGCGUUGUUCGGAAUUACUGGGCGUAAAGGGCGCGUAGGCGGUCUGUUAAGUUCGGUGUGAAAGCCCCCGGCUCACCUGGGGAACUGCGCCGGAAACCGACAGACUCGAGUACCGGAGAGGAGGGUGGAAUUCCUGGUGUAGCGGUGAAAUGCGUAGAUAUCUGGAGGAACACCGGUGGCGAAGGCGGCAUCCUGGACCGGUAUUGACACUGAGGCGCGAAAGCCAGGGGAGCAAACGGG